UGGGGAAUAUUGGACAAUGGGGGGAACCCUGAUCCAGCCAUGCCGCGUGUGUGAAGAAGGCCUUAUGGUUGUAAAGCACUUUAAGCGAGGAGGAGGGUACUGGUAUUAAUACUACUGGAUAGUGGACGUUACUCGCAGAAUAAGCACCGGCUAACUCUGUGCCAGCAGCCGCGGUAAUACAGAGGGUGCGAGCGUUAAUCGGAUUUACUGGGCGUAAAGCGUGCGUAGGCGGCUAAUUGAGUCGGAUGUGAAAUCCCCGAGCUUAACUUGGGAAUUGCAUUCGAUACUGGUUAGCUAGAGUGUGGGAGAGGAUGGUAGAAUUCCAGGUGUAGCGGUGAAAUGCGUAGAGAUCUGGAGGAAUACCGAUGGCGAAGGCAGCCAUCUGGCCUAACACUGACGCUGAGGUACGAAAGCAUGGGGAGCAAACAGG
RNAcentral lists this ribosomal RNA (430 nucleotides) under Pseudomonadota bacterium. Its description in RNAcentral is "Proteobacteria bacterium partial 16S ribosomal RNA". It matches the Rfam family "Bacterial small subunit ribosomal RNA", at positions 355 to 776 of the family's 1533-position model. The record is from RNAcentral. Lineage: Bacteria; Pseudomonadati; Pseudomonadota.